AACGAACGCUGGCGGCAUGCCUAACACAUGCAAGUCGAACGAGACCUUCGGGUCUAGUGGCGCACGGGUGCGUCACGCGUGGGAACCUGCCCUUAGGUUCGGCAUACCUCCCCGAAAGGGGUGCUAAUACCGGAUAAUGUCCUCGGACCAAAGAUUUAUCGCCUUUGGAUGGGCCCGCGUUGGAUUAGCUAGUUGGUAGGGUAAAAGCCUACCAAGGCGACGAUCCAUAGCUGGUCUGAGAGGAUGAUCAGCCACACUGGGACUGAGACACGGCCCAGACUCCUACGGGAGGCAGCAGUGGGGAAUAUUGGACAAUGGGCGAAAGCCUGAUCCAGCAAUGCCGCGUGAGUGAUGAAGGCCUUAGGGUUGUAAAGCUCUGUUACCCGGGAUGAUAAUGACAGUACCGGGAGAAUAAGCCCCGGCUAACUCCGUG
Molecule: ribosomal RNA, 433 nt
Filed under: uncultured bacterium
Lineage: Bacteria
Description: partial 16S ribosomal RNA
Rfam family: Bacterial small subunit ribosomal RNA
Source: RNAcentral